Molecule: ribosomal RNA, 524 nt
Filed under: Paracalais sp. NLG
Lineage: Eukaryota; Metazoa; Arthropoda; Insecta; Coleoptera; Elateridae
Description: partial 16S ribosomal RNA
Rfam family: Bacterial large subunit ribosomal RNA
Source: RNAcentral
CAUGUCCUUUUGAAUAUAAUUUAAGGUCUAAUCUGCUCAAUGAGGGAUUAAAUUGCCGCGGUAUUAUGACCGUGCGAAGGUAGCAUAAUAAUUAGCUUUUUUAUUGAAAGCUGGAAUGAAUGAUUGGACGAGAAAAUAUCUGUCUCUACUUAAUUUUUUAUUGAAUUUAACUUUUAAGUAAAAAGGCUUAAAUGUUUUAAAAAGACGAGAAGACCCUAUAGAGUUUAAUACUUAACAUUGUUAAAGUUUUUUGGUAUUAGUUUCUUUUAUUUUGAGAGGUAUUUAGUUGGGGUGACUAGAAGAAUAAAUAAACUCUUCUAUUGUUCUUAUUACUGAUUUGUAAAUAAUUAUUCUGGGUUUUCCAAGUUUAACAUAAAUUACCUUAGGGAUAACAGCGUAAUUUCCUUUGAGAGUUCUUAUUUAAAGGGGAGUUUGCGACCUCGAUGUUGGAUUAAAAUUAAUAUUGGGUGCAGUAGCUCAAUUAUUAGGUCUGUUCGACCUUUAAAAUUUUACAUGAUCUGAGU